This 829-nucleotide small RNA is filed under the name Pan troglodytes (chimpanzee). Its description in RNAcentral is "processed transcript". The record is from RNAcentral. Lineage: Eukaryota; Metazoa; Chordata; Mammalia; Primates; Hominidae.
ACAUAUGAGACAUCGCUGCUGGUAGAAGAGGCCAUUAGUGAGGAGCUUCCCUAUAGUGUAUCUGGACCAGAUCCGCCAGACAAUCUUUGAAAACCUGAAGAUGCUGAACCAUGCACCUAGUGUCCAGAUUCAUGACGUGCCUGCAGACCUCCUGACCUAUGACAGGACUGAUGAGGCUGAUGCAGAGGAGAGGGGUCCUGAGGAGAACUAUAGCAGGCCAGAGGCACCCAAUGAGUUCUAUGAUGGAGACCAUGACAAUGACAAGGAAAGCGAUGUGGAGAUUUAAGAGUGGCUUGGGAUGCUGUGUCCCAAGGAAUUUCUUUUCACCUCUUGGUUGGGCUGGAGGGAAAAGGAGUGGCUCCUAGAGUCCUGGGGGUCACCCCAGGGCUUUUGCUGACUCUGGGAAAGAGUCUGGAGACCACAUUUGGUUCUCGAACCAUCUACCUGCUUUUCCUCUCUCUCCCAAGGCCUGACAAUGGUACCUAUUAGGGAUGAGAUACGGACAAGGAUAGCUAUCUGGGACAUUAUUGGCAGUGGGCCCUGGAGGCCAGUCCCUAGCCCCCCUUGCCCCUUAUUUCUUCCCUGCUUCCCUCGAACCCAGAGAUUUUUGAGGGAUGAACGGGUAGACAAGGACUGAGAUUGCCUCUGACUUCCUCCUCCCCUGGGUUCUGACUUCUUCCUCCCCUUGCUUCCAGGGAAGAUGAAGAGAGAGAGAUUUGGAAGGGGCUCUGGCUCCCUAACACCUGAAUCCCAGAUGAUGGGAAGUAUGUUUUCAAGUGUGGGGAGGAUAUGAAAAUGUUCUGUUCUCACUUUUGGCUUUAUGUCCAUU